This 3044-nucleotide long non-coding RNA is filed under the name Mus caroli (Ryukyu mouse). Its description in RNAcentral is "RIKEN cDNA B530045E10 gene (MGP_CAROLIEiJ_G0004670.1)". The record is from RNAcentral. Lineage: Eukaryota; Metazoa; Chordata; Mammalia; Rodentia; Muridae.
CUGAAUAUGUAAUUACUUGUCCGUGGAAAGAAGAGGAUUAACAGACCUUGCCCUAAUUGCUUGUUUUUGUCAAGUUGUUAAGAAGGACUUAGGCUCCAGAAACAGAGGGUGUAGCCAGACAGAAGGCAGCCGGAGGAGUUCAAAAGUCUUGUAAUCUUUGGCUCCACAGGCCUAUAAAAAUGGAGUGUUGACUGAGUGCAAACAGCCGGCAGCCUGAGAGGCUCAGGUCCCGGGAAAGAUCGAGGCCGCGUGCUCAUUUGAAAAGGCAGGGGGUUUCAUAACGACCCUGACUAACCUGUUAAUGGAUGGUCCAAUUUGAUUUUCCCCUUCUUCACGAAGGCCAGAUCUGAAGCUGCCUGCCACACAACAAAGCUUUUCUAGGUUCCCAGGUUCCUGGAAUUCAAGACUAAAUGAGGCUUCUUGCAAAGGCUCUGCGUGAAAGAAGCAAAUUAGGAAUUUGAAGGGAUGAUGAUGCCGUUGUAGGAUACUCUCGUUUCCUGGUGUCCCUCUUGAGAUGAAGCACGGAAGGGCCUGUUCAACUCCACUGUUGGAUGUCACAGAACUAUCUAAGAGGUCCCUGGCAACCAGUCCUAAGCAGGAACUGGGAUGAAUUCCUAAGCUAUAGUAAGUAAAUUUAUGAUGUUAACACUUUUGCAAAAACGAAUGUGUUGUUGUUCACCAAAUACAAUUUUUUGGGAGGGGGCGGAGCAUCAUCUACAUUUUUGUUAUGUACAGCUUCCUCAAGUCAGCACCAAAUAGCCCAAGCAGUUUAAAUGUACCCCUUACCAUGAUGCUCUUUUUUGUGCCUGACUGAUGACUCUAAGAGCCUUUUGAAGUAGCAAAUGUCUCGUGUGCCUUCCCCACCACAAGCUUCCUCCCUGUCAUGGGUUACACGCGACAUUCUUCAGCUUGAAGCCAAUCUGACACGUAUUGAUAAAAUACCAUGAAGAUCACAUAACAAUCUGAUAUUCCAUGUAACGGAGUCAACUGAAGUCCAUAGAGAGGCAGAAGGAGGAGAGGAACCACAAAAAUAAUUUUCAGCUCCCAUUGUCUUUUCAGUAGACUACCCCAAAGCAGUGUUUCUCCAUUUGUUCUGCCCUGAGCCAAGCAGAAUCUGUAAGGGAUCCAACUGCAUGGAGCUCCCAGCAGUGAGGUUUACCUCUGAGCUGCUAUAGUGGUCCCACCUGCAUUGCUUCUGAUCCUUCACUGUCAACCAUCCUGCUUUCCAUCCUUCCCUGAUUUACACACCAGGGAAACAAUGUGGAUAUAUCGUCUGUCCCCAAAAUGAUGUUUUUUUUUUUUUUUCAGGUACUCCAGGCUUAAAGCAAACAUCACAACGUGAUCAUCAAUUCUCCAUCAAGGUAACAUUAUCUAUCUCAGCCUCCUGCAUGGGAUACUGUGCUGAGACGGUACACUGAGCCAUGGGUAACAAUGUGGGAUGGUAGAAGGUGAGAAAAAAAUGAAGUAUGGUCGCUAUAAUCAUCAAUCCUAAAGGACUAUGUAAGAGCAUUAUUAUACAACUAACCUGCUUUCAGGAUUCUUCUACUGUAUGCAUCCCUUGAUUGACAGUGACAGCUCAGUCUUCGUGGAAUUACCAGCUAUCUCUUUUGUUAUUUUUAUGGCCGUAUACAGCAUUAAAUCUCCCUACUACAUUUCCCUAAGAGCCUUGGUUUUGCAUUUUUAAAGCAUGAGCUUUCAAUUGCCUUUACACUAUCCACAGAAAUUCUCUUUUAUGUGUCACACCCUUGUACUUCUGCCUCCCUCUCCCUUUAAAGGAAAUACAUGAGGACACAUAUUUCCCAGAUAGCUCAGGUUCAUUGUUGUUGAAGAUUAGCUGGUAAUGUACGUAAACUGCUCAGUUUCAACCUUUGCCCUCUCUUCCAAGUACAAUCUGUUGCGGACGGGCUCCCCAGUCACCAGGGCGCACACUGUGUGUAGGCAUAGAUCCAUUACACAGACAGUGAAACGAAGGAAGAAUCUGACAUUUGCUGAGCAGGUGCUGCGUCCCAUGAGCACUGCAAGGCAUUCAUUCCCUCUUUCUUGUAUCUUUCUAGAACCCUACGCAAAGACAGUAUUUAAACUCAUCUCUGCCCAGAUACACAGCCCUAGCUCUUUACCCGGUACUUUGCAGCCAUGGAUAUCUUCCACACUUAGGGUUGUAAUUCCAGUAUUUUACUUUUGUUUGUGUUCAACUUUUAUUCCUUAUCAAAUAAGUUCCUUCCUCCUCAUCUUCUCUAUCCCACAUCCCACCCUGCCAUCCUUGAAGAGGUACGAUGCCUUCUGUUUUACUGUCGUGUGCCUUGGUGACUACUAAUUCUGAACAAUAAUAUCUUUCUUUGAAUUUUAAUAAAAGUAUUGUUAUGCUUUGAACUUGAUGUGGCCCUUAGAGACUUAAGUUUUAAAGAUUGGCAGACAGCUGAUGGGUUUUGGGGAAGUGGCUGAUUGGGUCAUAAGGAACCUAACCUAAGUAGUGUUUGAACCAAUUGCUGAAAUCAUAGUUGAUUAUUGCAAAGGGUGGGAGAUGAGGGCUGGUUCUGAUUGUGCUGCUGAGGGGGCUUUGAAGUGUGUGCCUGCCCCUGAACUCUUCCUCUGCCUAUUUCCUCUGUUCAUCCCAACCAUAUGAGGCAAGCAGACAUUCCUCCUACUCAGAUAUUCUAGCCUCACCCAGCAAUGGAGGCAGCCUAACAGACUAAAACAGUGGAUCUCAAUCUGCGGCUCCUGACUUCUUUUGGGUGGUUGCCUAUCAGAUAUCCUGCUUAUCAGAUAGUUACAUCAUGAUUCAUAGUAGUAGCAAAUUACAGUCAGUUAUAAAGUAGCAAGGAAAAUAAUGUUGUGGUUUGGGGGGUGGGAGGGUCAGCACAAUAUGAGGAACUGUAAUAAAGCGUUGUAGCAUCAGAAAUGUGGACUAAAGCAUAUGAAACCAUGAGCCAAACAAAAUAAAGCUUUCUUUUCUUUUUAUUUUCCUUUUUUUCUUUCAGGUGCUGUUCUUGUGUGCUCUGUCUCUGCGGCAUAAAGUCUGACCAAUGCAGGACCCAUAAUGCUUC